UGCUUUGUCGUGGUAUACAAUACGACAUCAAUAAAAAAUUUUGUGUCAUGAGUCCAACUGUGUGAACUAUUGGCAACACCCUUAAAUUGUGCAUACUUUGAUAAAAUGUGAUUGAAACAAAUGCUUGUUAAUGAUUGAAAAAUAUUAUAUUGUUUUCAUGGUUCAAGAAAAAUGUGAAUAUUUUAAAUGCUUUAUUAUGUUUUGGUAAAUUGUGUUUUA
Molecule: unclassified non-coding RNA, 219 nt
Filed under: Hevea brasiliensis (rubber tree)
Lineage: Eukaryota; Viridiplantae; Streptophyta; Magnoliopsida; Malpighiales; Euphorbiaceae
Source: RNAcentral